This 80-nucleotide transfer RNA is filed under the name Ictidomys tridecemlineatus (thirteen-lined ground squirrel). Its description in RNAcentral is "Spermophilus tridecemlineatus (thirteen-lined ground squirrel) tRNA". The stretch from base 1 to 65 matches the Rfam family "tRNA". From Rfam's summary of the family: Transfer RNA (tRNA) molecules are approximately 80 nucleotides in length. Their secondary structure includes four short double-helical elements and three loops (D, anti-codon, and T loops). Lineage: Eukaryota; Metazoa; Chordata; Mammalia; Rodentia; Sciuridae. The record is from Rfam by way of RNAcentral.
UAGGGUGUAGCUCAGUGGUAGAGCAUGUGCUUAGCAUGCACAAGGCUAAAAAACAUCUAUUUUAUGAUUUUAUUCUUUAU